CAGAGCACAGAGGGUCUUCACCUUCAGGGCGUGAGGAGCCAGAAUACGCCUGGAAUGCCUUGAAAGAGCCACCCGUGGAAGGUUCAGGAAGGCUCCCCGGGGAGCUGGCCUGUGAGACAGGCCUGGAAGAAUGAUGCUCGUUCUCAGCAUUGCCGUCUGCAAGCAUUCUUGGAGAGCCGUUUUCAUUGGGUUUUCUGCCCGUGGGGCACGUAAAGCCUCCCCAGCCUCCUGCAGGCGACCCUAAGCUGCCUCUCCCCCGAACUCGAACACUCUCACAAUCAGACUCCCACAGUCAGACACACCAGUCAGCACCGGAUGCAUCUCCAACUGCACGGCGUGUGUCCAUUGUGUUUUCCCUACCGGCCUGUUUGCCGUCUAGAGAUCACAGAGGAACACCCCCUUCCCUUGUCUAAACACCCACGAGGAUGCCCAGCCCCAGACACAUGUAGAAACCC
Molecule: long non-coding RNA, 455 nt
Filed under: Equus caballus (horse)
Lineage: Eukaryota; Metazoa; Chordata; Mammalia; Perissodactyla; Equidae
Description: lncRNA (ENSECAG00000057674.1)
Source: RNAcentral